RNA transcript from Myotis lucifugus (little brown bat), 3195 nucleotides. It is a transcript of the gene named serine/threonine-protein kinase PRP4 homolog pseudogene, with no coding region annotated. The transcript has 2 exons. Lineage: Eukaryota; Metazoa; Chordata; Mammalia; Chiroptera; Vespertilionidae. The record is from RefSeq and is a predicted model, not a curated record.
AUGGCCGCCGCCACGGCUCCGCGUCUGCAGGAACAGUCGGAGAUGGAAGAUGCUGAUAAUUCUGGAAAGAGUGUACACGAAGAAAAUGGAGAAGUAUCAGAAGACCAAUCUCAAAAUAAGCACAGUCGUCACAAGAAAAAGAAGCAUAAACACAGAAGUAAGCAUAAGAAACAUAAACAUUCCUUAGAAGAAGACAAGGAUAAAAAACGUAAACAUAAGAAGCGCAAAAGAAGAGAGGUUGUAGAUGCUUCUGACAAAGAAGGUUUGUCUCCGGCAAAAAGAACUAAAUUUGAUGAUUUAGCGUUGCUGGAAGACUUGGAAAAACAGAGAGCCUUGAUUAAAGCUGAACUUGAUAAUGAGUUCAUGGAAGGAAACGUCCGGUCAGGGAUGGGGCCCAUAUUACAAGGUUAUGAAUCUGGCUCUGAAGAAGAGGGGGAAAUUCAUGAAAAGGCACGAAAUGGAAAUAGGUCUAGUAUUAGAUCUUCCACUACCAAGGGGAAACUUGAACUUAUGGACAAUAAAAAUAGUACAAAAAGGCGAAGUAGAAGCAGAUCCAAAGAACGGACUAGCCAUAGGUCUGAUAAAAAGAAAAGUAAGGGAAGUGUUAAAGAGAAGACAACUAGGAGCAAAUCAAAGGAGAGGAAAAAGUCUAAAAGUCCAUCCAAAAGAAGUAAGUCUCAAGAUCAAGCAAGAAAGUCAAAAUCUCCUACCCUUAGAAGGCGAUCUCAGGAGAAAAUUGGGAAGGCCGGAUCUCCUACUGAUGACAAGGUUAAGAUUCAAGAUAAAAGUAAGUCAAAAGAUAGAAAAAAAUCCCCAGUUAUAAAUGAAAGAAGUCGUGAUCGAGGCAAAAAAUCCAGAUCGCCAGUUGACUUAAGAGGUAAAUCCAAAGACAGAAGGUCACGGUCCAAAGAGAGAAAGUCAAAACGGUCUGAAACUGAUAAAGAAAAGAAGCCAAUUAAAUCUCCCUCUAAAGAUGCUUCUUCUGGGAACGAAAAUAGAUCACCCAGUAGAAGACCUGGUCGUAGUCCUAAGAGAAGAAGUUUCUCUCCAAAACAACGGGAUAAAUCCAGAAGAAGUAGAUCUCCACUUUUAAAUGAUAGAAGGUCUAAGCAGAGCAAGUCACCUUCUCGAAAUCUGUCUCCCGGUAGAAGAGCUGAGAGCCGAUCCUUGGAAAGAAAACUAAGGAGACGACUUUCUUCCCCAAGAACACAACCUCGUGACGAUAUCCUCAGUAGACGCAAGAGAUCAAAAGAUGCCACCCCGAUAAGUAAGUGGUCUCCAACCCGAAGAAGAGCAAGUAGAUCUCCCAUUAGAAGGAGGUCUCGCUCCCCACUCAGGCGGAGCAGGUCUCCUAGAGGAAGAAGCAGGUCCCCUCGGAGAAGGGAUAGAGGUCGGAGAAGCAGAUCACGUUUGAGAAGGCGGUCUCAAUCACCUUCAGAAGGUGGUCGUAGAAGUAGGAGCAGAAGCAAAGUAAAGGAGAAUAAAUUUAAAGGAAGUCUUUCUGAAGGAAUGAAAGUUGAGCAAGAAUCUUCAUCUGAAGAUAACCUCGAAGACUUUGAGGUAGAAGAAGAAGAAGAUGAAGAGGCCCUAAUAGAGCAGAGAAGAAUACAAAGGCAAGCAAUUGUCCAGAAAUAUAAAUAUCUUGCUGACGAUAGCAAUAGGUCUGUGCCGUCUGAACCCAGCAGCCCCCAGAGUAGUACUCGUACACGGUCACCUUCUCCAGAUGACAUUUUGGAAAGGGUAGCUGCUGAUGUUAAAGAGUAUGAAUGGGAAAAUGUUGACACAUUUGAGGCCUUGGUAAAAGCCAAGCAUAAUCUAAUGACAGUUGAACCAAAUAAUGGGUCAGCUCAGAAAAAGCUGUUGGCACUUGAUAUGUUUACAGAAUCUGAUGAUAUGUUUGCUGCAUAUUUUGAUAGUGCUCAUCUUCGGGCUGCUGGCGUUGGAAAAGACUUUAAAGAGAAUCCUAACCUCAGGGAUAACUGGACUGAUGCAGAAGGCUAUUAUCGUGUGAACAUAGGCGAAGUGUUAGAUGAGCGCUAUAAUGUGUAUGGCUACACUGGUCAAGGUGUAUUCAGUAAUGUCGUACGAGCCAGAGAUUCUGCAAGAGCCAACCAAGAAGUGGCUGUAAAGAUCAUCAGAAACAAUGAACUCAUGCAGAAAACUGGUUUAAAAGAACUCGAAUUCUUGAAAAAACUUAAUGAUGCUGAUCCUGAUGACAAAUUUCAUUGUUUGCGGCUCUUCAGACACUUUUAUCACAAACAGCAUCUCUGUCUCGUAUUUGAGCCGCUCAGCAUGAAUUUACGAGAGGUGUUAAAAAAAUAUGGUAAGGAUGUUGGUCUUCAUAUUACAGCUGUAAGGUCCUAUAGUCAGCAGUUGUUCUUGGCAUUGAAACUCCUUAAAAGAUGCAAUAUCCUACAUGCUGAUAUCAAGCCAGACAAUAUCCUGGUUAAUGAAUCAAAAACUAUUUUAAAGCUCUGUGAUUUUGGGUCGGCUUCACAUGUUGCGGAUAAUGACAUAACUCCUUAUCUUGUCAGUCGAUUUUAUCGUGCUCCUGAAAUCAUUAUAGGUAAAAGCUAUGACUAUGGCAUAGAUAUGUGGUCUGUAGGUUGUACCUUAUAUGAACUCUAUACUGGAAACAUUUUAUUUCCUGGCAAAACCAACAACCAUAUGUUGAAGCUCACCAUGGAUCUCAAAGGAAAGAUGCCAAAUAAGAUGAUUCGGAAAGGUGUAUUCAAAGACCAACAUUUUGAUCAAAACCUCAAUUUCAUGUACAUAGAAGUUGAUAAAGUAACAGAGAAGGAGAAAGUUACUGUCAUGAGCACCAUUAAUCCAACUAAGGACCUGUUGGCUGACUUGAUUGGGUGCCAGCGACUUCCUGAAGACCAACGUAAAAAAGUACACCAGCUAAAAGACUUGUUGGACCAGAUCCUAAUGUUGGACCCAGCUAAACGGAUUAGCAUCAACCAGGCCCUACAGCAUGUCUUUAUCCAGGAAAAAAUUUAAAUGAGAUGAAGAAGCUCCAAUGGUUUGAGUAAUUAAAUACAAAGACUGAAGAAAUUUCACAGCAGUUUAUUAAUGCAUAAACCUUCCACUCUUGAACAAAGCAGCUGCUUUUUAAAGCGGUAAUUGCUUCUUUACCUUUAUUUCUUCUGUAAAUGAAGCUUUUCUUUAAGAAUGUGACUUUAAAGUGUUGUC